AGGUACCCCUUCCAGCCUUUUCUUCCUUCAAUUGAUCGAACAAAUAGAACCACCAUUACAUCACGAUGCUCAUGGGCCCGCCAAUCGCUCGCGUUCGCAACAGUCCUAGCUAGAACACGCCCAUUCCCGCCGCGGGCGCCAUGGUCGCGCUGCCCGCACGGCACCUUUAGCAUCAGUGAGAAGCAGUCCCAAGCCAGGGUAUGCGCAGCCACCCAGGGCACUAGAGACCGCAAGUUGAUGCUAGAGGACGACGUGGAACAGUGCGCAAGUAAAGUGCUCAACGAAAUGUCUUAACUACUUGCUGUUGGUGGUCUUCGCGCAUUCCGCCUAUUGUGGUGAAGAGUCACCGACCAAUGCACUGCUGUUGAUGUCCGUGAUGCCGCCACUUCACCCUCAUGUCAAAUCCCCACUAUAGCUGACGCAGCCCAACCUGCAGGACCCUGGAUGCAGCGGACUUCAUGGACAAAGCCACUGGCUAUGGUUUGCUAACAAUAAAGCAGGAUAAUAUUUUGGUGUACCAAAGUUCUUUAUGACACAAAAUAUAACUAAAACAUAUGUUUGUAUUAGCUUCAUCUAAAAUAAUAUAAACCUUGGUUAAUCAAGUUAGGAUUUCUUACAAAUUGUUUUAUCAAAAACAGGAAGGUUACAAGAUCAAAAGAGCAGGAAAGGAUCAAGACAAGACAAUAGUAACAAAGGGACCUACCAAAAAUUAUCAUUGGGUGCCUCGAUAGUGGAACCACUUAAUAAAGAUUUCUGGGUUACAUUAGGUUCAAUAUCAAGUGAUCUAGCUUCGAAGCAGAAGGGACUCAGGUGACAAGCAAUUGGCAACACAAGCAUUUGAUCGUGCUCGAAGCAUUGAUCCCUCAUUUGCCUUGCCAUGGGCUGGAAAUAUCUCUACAGUUGCCAGUGGACCUGUGAGUUACAAAUGGCUGGGAGUCCCGGUGGGUGCAAUCUGAUUGUAAAAGGAGUGAAGGGAAAGCUGGAAGGUUAAAGCACACGGCCGGAACAUACUCUGGAGAUUCUGAUGCCAAAGAUUUAUUUUUCAUCCCUCGCACAUUUGUGUUUCAAUUGACUAUGAAUACAAACAACAAUGGAUGCUAGGCAUUUUCCUAUCUCAGCGAAGUUCCCACAAUUCAGUAACAAGAACAGGACACUGGUGGUCCAGUACUCCAUCAAGUUUGAGCAGGAUAUUGAGUGCGGUGGUGGAUAUAUUAAGCUUAUGUCCGGUUAUGUCAACCAGAAAAAUUUAGUGGGGACACUCCAUAUAGCCUCUAUUGUUAGAACUGUGGAUUUUGCUGCUGAGGUACAAGAUGUGCUUAGAAAUCUUAGUGGCAACAGGGAAUCAAUGAAGGGAAUAAAGUCAUGGUUUAUGCAGAGGGCAGAGGGUGCUGUUUGUGUCGGCUCUGCCUCAAGUUCUUAAGGAAAGAGUAUUUGCCUUUGAGGAUUCAGAGGGGCAGCUGCACAUUAUUUUCCUGGUGAAUGAUAUUUUGUUUGAAAGGUA
Molecule: long non-coding RNA, 1501 nt
Organism: Panicum virgatum (switchgrass)
Lineage: Eukaryota; Viridiplantae; Streptophyta; Magnoliopsida; Poales; Poaceae
Exons: 7
Source: RefSeq, a predicted model, not a curated record